RNAcentral lists this ribosomal RNA (610 nucleotides) under Pseudoalteromonas tetraodonis. RNAcentral describes it as "bacterial SSU rRNA". It matches the Rfam family "Bacterial small subunit ribosomal RNA", at positions 63 to 664 of the family's 1533-position model. Lineage: Bacteria; Pseudomonadati; Pseudomonadota; Gammaproteobacteria; Alteromonadales; Pseudoalteromonadaceae. The record is from RNAcentral.
CGAGCGGUAACAUUUCUAGCUUGCUAGAAGAUGACGAGCGGCGGACGGGUGAGUAAUGCUUGGGAACAUGCCAUUAGGAGGGGGACAACAGUUGGAAACGACUGCUAAUACCGCAUAAUCUCUUCGGAGCAAAGAUGGGGCUCUUCGGACCUAUCGCCUAAUGAUUGGCCCAAGUGGGAUUAGCUAGUUGGUGAGGUAAAGGCUCACCAAGGCGACGAUCCCUAGCUGGUCUGAGAGGAUGAUCAGCCACACUGGAACUGAGACACGGUCCAGACUCCUACGGGAGGCAGCAGUGGGGAAUAUUGCACAAUGGGCGCAAGCCUGAUGCAGCCAUGCCGCGUGUGUGAAGAAGGCCUUCGGGUUGUAAAGCACUUUCAGUAAGGAGGAAAGGUUAGUCGCUAAUAUCGGCUAGCUGUGACGUUACUUACAGAAGAAGCACCGGCUAACUCCGUGCCAGCAGCCGCGGUAAUACGGAGGGUGCGAGCGUUAAUCGGAAUUACUGGGCGUAAAGCGUACGCAGGCGGUUUGUUAAGCUAGAUGUGAAAGCCCCGGGCUCAACCUGGGAACUGCAUUUAGAACUGGCAGACUAGAGUGUGAUAGAGGGUGGUAG